RNAcentral lists this ribosomal RNA (468 nucleotides) under uncultured bacterium. RNAcentral's name for it is "partial 16S ribosomal RNA". It matches the Rfam family "Bacterial small subunit ribosomal RNA", at positions 28 to 507 of the family's 1533-position model. The record is from RNAcentral.
GACGAACGCUGGCGGCGUGCUUAACACAUGCAAGUCGAACGGAAAGGCCCUGCUUUUGUGGGGUGCUCGAGUGGCGAACGGGUGAGUAACACGUGAGUAACCUGCCCUUGACUUUGGGAUAACUUCAGGAAACUGGGGCUAAUACCGGAUAGGAGCUCCUGCUGCAUGGUGGGGGUUGGAAAGUUUCGGCGGUUGGGGCUGGACUCGCGGCUUAUCAGCUUGUUGGUGGGGUAGUGGCUUACCAAGGCUUUGACGGGUAGCCGGCCUGAGAGGGUGACCGGCCACAUGGGGACUGAGGUACGGCCCAGACUCCUACGGGAGGCAGCAGUGGGGAAUAUUGCACAAUGGGCGGAAGCCUGAUGCAGCAACGCCGCGUGCGGGAUGACGGCCUUCGGGUUGUAAACCGCUUUCGCCUGUGACGAAGCGUGAGUGACGGUAAUGGGUAAAGAAGCACCGGCUAACUACGUG